RNAcentral lists this ribosomal RNA (253 nucleotides) under uncultured bacterium. RNAcentral's name for it is "partial 16S ribosomal RNA". It matches the Rfam family "Bacterial small subunit ribosomal RNA", at positions 524 to 776 of the family's 1533-position model. The record is from RNAcentral.
UACGUAGGGGGCAAGCGUUGUCCGGAAUCAUUGGGCGUAAAGCGCGCGUAGGUGGCCACAUAAGUCCGCUGUGAAAGUCAAAGGCUCAACCUUUGAAAGCCGGUGGAUACUGUGGGACUAGAGUACGGAAGAGGCGAGUGGGAUUCCUGGUGUAGCGGUGGAAUGCGCAGAUAUCAGGAGGAACACCAAUAGCGAAGGCAGCUCGCUGGAACGUUACUGACACUGAGGCGCGAAAGCGUGGGGAGCGAACAGG